UCGUACAGCCAUGCCUGCUGAUAUUGUGUUCCUGGUGGAUGAUUCCUGGUCAGUGGGUCUAACCAGCUUCCAGCAGAUCAAAGAGUUCAUAGCGGACAUCAUCCGAGGCUUUCAGGGAAGUGUGGUUGGACAGGAAGGCAUUCGCUUUGGAGUUACUGUCUAUUCUGACUUGCCCAGAUUGCUGUUCUGAUCACUAAUGGCCAAUCAGAUGAUCCAGUGGACAGUCCAGCUAAAGCUGUAACAGACAGUGGAAUUUCCCUGUUUGCUGUGGGGGUAAGGAAUGCUGACCAGUCCGAGAUGAGGAAAAUCGUCACAGAGCCCCAUGAGGAACAUUUACAGCUCAGCCCAGAUUUCUCCUUUCUGGAGAACCUUCUGCCCAAACUCUCUCGUUGCAUCUGCUUCACUGCUUCAGAACCUCCCCAACCUGUUAAACAAAAGCCACCUGGUAAAAACACCAUGAGUUUUUC
Molecule: long non-coding RNA, 467 nt
Organism: Cyprinus carpio (common carp)
Lineage: Eukaryota; Metazoa; Chordata; Actinopteri; Cypriniformes; Cyprinidae
Exons: 3
Source: RefSeq, a predicted model, not a curated record